This 234-nucleotide unclassified non-coding RNA is filed under the name Hysteriales sp. RNAcentral's name for it is "partial contains 5.8S ribosomal RNA, internal transcribed spacer 2, and large subunit ribosomal RNA". The record is from RNAcentral. Lineage: Eukaryota; Fungi; Ascomycota; Dothideomycetes; Hysteriales.
CGCACAUUGCGCCCUUUGGUAUUCCGAGGGGCAUGCCUGUUCGAGCGUCAUUUCAACCAUCAAGCCCAGCUUGGUAUUGGACCCGGUCUCAGGGCCUGUCCGUAACUAGUCGGCGGUACUGUGCAGCCUCAAGCGUAACAGAAAUCUCGCUUCCGGGUUAUCGUACGGCGUCUGCCAAAAAAACCAUAACUGAAGUUUGACCUCGGAUCAGGUAGGGAUACCCGCUGAACUUAA